CGCAGCCGCGGUAAUUCCAGCUCCAAUAGCGUAUAUUAAAGUUGCUGCAGUUAAAAAGCUCGUAGUUGAAUUUCGGGACUGAUAUGUCGGUCGUGCCUCGGUACGUACUGGUAUUUUUGGUUUCUCCCUUCUGACGAACCUUGAUGUCAUUAAUUUGGUGUCUUGGGAAAUCAGGACUGUUACUUUGAAAAAAUUAGAGUGUUUAAAGCAGGCUCACGCUUGAAUACAUUAGCAUGGAAUAAUGAAAUAGGACGUUUGAUUCUAUUUUGUUGGUUUCUAGGAUCGACGUAAUGAUUAAUAGGGAUAGUUGGGGGCAUUAGUAUUCAAUUGUCAGAGGUGAAAUUCUUGGAUUUAUUGAAGACUAACUACUGCGAAAGCAUUUGCCAAGGAUGUUUUCAUUAAUCAAGAACGAAAGUUAGGGGAUCGAAGACGAUCAGAUACCGUCGUAGUCUUAACCAUAAACUAUGCCGACUAGGGAUCGGAUGAUGUUAAUUUUUUAAUGACUCA
Molecule: ribosomal RNA, 507 nt
Filed under: uncultured Glomeraceae
Lineage: Eukaryota; Fungi; Glomeromycota; Glomeromycetes; Glomerales; Glomeraceae
Description: SSU rRNA
Rfam family: Eukaryotic small subunit ribosomal RNA
Source: RNAcentral